GGGCGCAGGCGCAGAGAAUCAGCCUAGUACCGGGUGGGGCCGGCGCUGCGCAGUCAUGAUCGUCGCCGAGGUGGCGGUGGAGUCCGCGGUCCCAGUAGUGGCCGGUGCUGAGACGGCCGCCGUUGUCCCGGAGCACGAAGAGCGGCUGUGGCCCUGGAAAGAUGCCCCGAUCCCGACGCUGGUGCAGCGCAUCCACCAGUUGCAGGCUGAGCGUGCGCAGGCCUUCCGCCGACUGGAGAAAGGCCACCGCCAGUACCUGCGCAGCGGCCCGCCCCACGACUUCCCGAGCUAUCGGAGCACGGUGCACGAGGUGACCCAGGCCUUCGCCGCCGCCUCGCGGGAGGUACUGGCGGUGGAGGCAGAGCUGGCCGGGCCCCGAGCGCAGCCGCUACUUUCGAGCCAUGUGCGAAGCCUGCAGAAGCUGGAGCAGACGCGCUUGGCCACGGUGGCCCUGCUGCAGCUGAUGGGGGCGCCAGAGCUGAUGGGGCAGGAGGACACCCUAAAGAUGUGCCGGCUGAAGAUGAAGUGAGCCCUGCCUCCCAAUGGACUGACCAUGCUAGCUUUGCACAUGCACCCUCCAACAAGCAUCUAUCCCCAGCAAUUUCCCAUCCGUUCUUGUAGGGUAAUUAAAACCAUGGAGGCGAUCAGUGAGGUUCUCCAGGACCUCAGGUUUGAUUCGGAAUCUGCCGAGUGAUGGUGGCUCCCCAGGGACAUGCAGAGGGAGAUGGGAAAUGAGGUGGAUGGUGCCCAGCCCAGCCCUGACCACCAGCUGGCUGGGGUCAUGGCUCACCAGGCUGCUGACCCUCCUCGAGCUCACAACGCCUCCCACAAUAAAGAACCCUUAGUCUACAGCCA
This is an RNA transcript of Manis pentadactyla (Chinese pangolin), 855 nucleotides long. It is a transcript of the gene named required for excision 1-B domain containing, with no coding region annotated. The record is from RefSeq and is a predicted model, not a curated record. Lineage: Eukaryota; Metazoa; Chordata; Mammalia; Pholidota; Manidae. The transcript has 5 exons.